CUGCGAGCAGCGCGAGCGUUCACCUGCGAGCAGCGCGAGCGUUCACCUGCGAGCAGCGCGAGCGUUCACCUGCGAGCAGCGCGAGCGUUCACCUGCGAGCAGCGCGAUUUACAAAAUGGUGCCGGUAGUGCUUCUUGCUGAUUUCUGUUGAGACAUUUUUCUUCGGCGUGAAAGCAAACCUCGUCAUUAUUUCUCAACGCGCGGCAGAAAACCCUGCUCCAUAGGCCCUGAUGUAUAUUUCAGACCGGAUGUGACGCAUCGGGUGAGUUUUUUAUUCACUUUUAUUGUUUUCAGAAGUCUUUAUCCCAAGAAAAUGUGUAUUUCCUAAUAUGAGUGAAAUAAUAAUGUUGUAGUAGCUUCAUGUUUUCAGGAUGUUGAGGGGAAAGGUUUGUAUUUUGUCUUUGACUGAACACAAUGAGAGAGAGAUUCCAGUGUGAUGAGCAGUACGUUUAAAUAAUUUCAUUCAUUUCCAAAGUGGUACUAAAUAUAAUGUCUAUUCACUAAUGUGAGAGAUAAAUAGCCAAAAUGUUUGCAGUGUUUAAAAUGUAUUCCUUCUAACCAAGUUUGAUUUUAAUUGACACUUAAAAAAAAAAAAAAACACCUGAAGCAGCCUUAUAUGGUAUUUUAUGUAUACAAAUAAAAUAUUUGUAUGUGUAUGUCGUCCUCUAGGAUAGAAGAAACAUUGUCUGUGUAAUCAGUUGUCUAGGUUGCCCAUGUUAUCUUGUUCCAUUAUUUACUACUGCCUAUAAGGAAAGGGGAAAAGGGAGACGGACUCAUUUUGUUGUUUGUAUAAAACCACAUACAAAUCUAUUCUGUAUUUAGUCAAUAUAGAUGAUCUUCAUUCCUGAGUUCUAACCUGCCCAAAAUCUGCAUAGUUAAUGCUGCCUGAAUUUACAUUUUGUCCUGUGACUUUUUUUGUCAUUUAUUCACAUUCUGGGCCACGUAUUGAGCAAUAACAGAUGUACGAUUUCUCUCCGUAGUAUUUGUUGUGGCACACGAUGAUCUAGUUUAAAUAUCAUUAAUAGGUCAUGUUUGAUUAAAUAUCAUUAAAAGCAUCAGGUUUUGUCCACCACUUUUGUACUAGAGGUUCCACCCCUGAUUAGUUUUUUUUAAUUUUAUGGUUAGUUUGUGGACUUUCUAUAAGAAAUGUUAUUUUAUUCUGAGAAUUCUAUAUUCUAUUAGAGUUUUUUUUUUCUAUUUUAUCUAUCCCCUUUAUUCCUCAUACACCCUAAAUACAUAUGCAAGUGAUCGUGAUGAAUCAAUUUAAUAUGCAAAUUAGCUGGUGAUGUCAUCUGGCGACGUUGAAGCACUUUUUGAGCGAGAUGGCGACGCUGCAGUCAUGUGGACUUUUUUUUUUUGAUAAGAGCCAGGUAAAGGUCAGAACAGAACUAUGAAGGUAAAACAUGCCGAAAGGAGGAAAAAGCCGUCAGAGAGUGGAUCUGACCUGGAGGAUUACAGUGGAAUGGAUUGUUUGGUGACAUCAUUACCUGUAAAAGUUAGAGGUGUUACAGAAUUCUGGAAGAAGUGAGGAGACGCUUAUUUAACAUUUAUGGAAGGAGUCUCCAGUGUCAGCGCUUUGGAACAGUCUGAGGUCAGCGUCUCUCCAUCACGCCUCAUCAUUCCUCACUUCCACUGAACGAGGGCGCCUCUCUAGGGGACGUCUCUAGGGGAGGAAUAUUUGAACAGAUGAAUUGAGGACCGUCUCUCUUGGGAGUCCUGGAUUUUCUGAGCGAGCAAUAGAGAAAGAAGAGCAAAAAGGGAAUUGAAGAGGGAGGAAGUGAGAGAUAAAGAAUGGAGAGGGGUAAUGACUUCACAGAGACCCAUCAUCACCACCCCUUAUUCCCUCUGAGGCUGAAUAGUGAACGAGGGCAACUCUCCAGGGGACGAAAAUUCGAACAGAUGUGUCGAGGUCUUUCUGAAAAGAGAGGAACUCGAGUGAUUCUGUUUGUUCUGGGCCUCUAGCUGCAGGUCCUGUUUGCUCAGUUCCUGAUUGCUAAGUGGACCAUAAAGUCUGAUUCGGUUCAUCAUUGAUUCAAAUGUUUUUAACCCUAAACAAGC
Ictalurus punctatus (channel catfish) is the source of this 2058-nucleotide long non-coding RNA. NCBI's taxonomy places the organism in Eukaryota, Metazoa, Chordata, Actinopteri, Siluriformes, Ictaluridae. The record is from Ensembl.